AAGAUAACUCCACCUGUAACUCCUCCGCGGGUUACUGCCGGUCCCAAGCCCGGAUAAAAGGAGGAGGGUUGG
RNAcentral lists this non-coding RNA (72 nucleotides) under Schistosoma mansoni. Lineage: Eukaryota; Metazoa; Platyhelminthes; Trematoda; Strigeidida; Schistosomatidae. The record is from RNAcentral.